CAAAACACAAGGCGACUGUCACAUAGGCCCCAGGCAAACCGCCUGGACAACUAGGUGACGCCUUGACAACUAUGGUCACAAUUUGUAGGAGAGAGAGUUAUAGGAUACAAACUCGGCUAUAGAGUUCGUACAAGCUCAUUUUUCUUUUCUUAUUGGAAGAUCUGACUCAAGGGAAUAGGUUGGAAUAUUACCUGAAUCAAGCGGAGGAUCAGGAGAGGGUUCUUGGCAUGUCUUCUUUUCCCUCUAUAUACAAGUUACUCUUUUCCUUCAUUGUCUCCAAUGAACUCUAGUUCUCUUGUAUCUCCAUCCAAAACAACUCUCCCUGCCUCAUGUUCUUGAGCAGUCCCAACUUCUUUCAUAUUUCCUUUAUUUGUAGAUUUACAUAUAUCAAAAGAGGAGGAUGGAACAGGUGAAUAUUGGAUCAUGUUUUCCAUACGACUCUCCCCCUUAAAGAGUUGUCACAAAUGUGGGGAAAAAAGGAACAGAUUCAAAGAAGGUGACAUCCAUAGAGACAAGACUUUUGUGAGAGGGAGGGUGAUAACACUUGUGUCGUUUUCCAAUUGGAGAAUAACCCAGGAAAAUGCAUUUGGGGGCUUGGGGGUCAAGUUUGCUAUGCUCGAAUUUAUGAACUUGAACAUAGCAGACACAACCAAACACUUUUACAGGGAUGGGAAAGGCAAAUGAGCAAGAAUAUAAACCUCUAAUGGAGAGCGGAACCAAAGAAUAGUUGAGGAAGUAUGGUUGAUGAGAAAGGUAGUUGUUAGUAAAGCUUGGACCAAAAAGUUAUUGGAACAUGCAUCCUAAACAAUAAACUCCUAGUAAUUUCAAGCUAGUGGCAUUCUUCCUUUCAGCUACCCCAAUUUGUUGAGGGGUGUCAACACAAGAAAGCUGAUAGAGAAUGCCAUGAUCCCUUAAGAAUUUUUGUAGUCCUCCAAACAUGUAUUCACCCUCGAUCAGAGUGAACAAUUUUUACCUUUGUUUCAAACAAUUUUUGUAGUCCUACAAACAUGAUCACCCCAAUACACAUCCAAGGAGUUGAACACUUGACCACCCUGUUCUAAACUCAUGUUCACUACCGUUUCACUUAAAAGUUCAAACUUUUAGGGAAGGGCAGCAUCAUGCAUACUUCAAAAAUUUAUAUUGGUGAUUUUUUUGAUUGGAUACUUAGGAGAUUGUGUUAGAUUUUACUUCUCUUUCAGUUUCAGACUACAAUUAGAGAACUUUCGCUUUCUUUUUUUAAAUAUGCUUGCAAUCCAAUGAUGGAGGGUGGAAUAUAAAAUCAAAAUACCGUCGCGAGUGUGGUGUGAGCCGGUGGCCCUCUUCAUCUCUUCUUUCUCUUCCCAUUCUUGUUAUUACAUUCCAUAGCCCUGUUUCCUGCUUCCACUCCUCUGUCCAUCCAUUGUAUUCUUUAUCUGGCUUAAAUUUCCUUACCACUGGAUUAUUCUCUGUUACCAUUACUGUUGGACUGAACUUGGAUCUGCAGAAACUUCAUACGAGUCCCAAGUGGCCUGAAACUUUGGAGUAAACCCCUCCUUCCUAGACGAUGGAAAUACCAAGGUUUAUUUUACUAUAUUGUACUCCCUUUUUCCCAUAUUUCUCUUAUCCCUGCAUUUUGCUUUUAGUUCCAAGAUUACCCUUCCCCACUUAUGCCUUCCCUUCUAUUUAUUUGUUCCCUUCUUCUUGUAGCCUUGGAAUUUUAUUAAUUUACAGCCUUACCACUACUUGCAUUAUUUUGAGUUUCCACUUGCUAUUGUACAUUUAUAUAGUGCUGGACUGCGACCGAAAUUACAGAUUUUGCAUCCACCUCAUUAUUUGAGGUGUGAAGUAUCCAGAUGGACCCAUAAGUAAUCCAGACCUCACCCAUCUCCCUGCGAUACAUCUGGGUUGCAUUUUAAUUUUACUACUUACAUUCCCCAUCGCUACAAAGCAUUUUCUGGUGUGGACCAAAUCAUACAGACCAGCAGAGGAUGGUUUGCGACCGAUUAGUGGAGACUGAUUAUAGGCUAAGACCGACCGACUGUAUAGCAAAAGAUUUCAGUCUAGGAAAUGGAGACUGAUUAGAUAAUUGGUCAGUUUCGGUCUGUGCUCCAUUAUUAGACAUAAAUGCCAGUCCAAUAAAAAACGACUGGGACUGACCAAUUGACACACUUAGUAGGAGUUGAUCUUGAGUACGGUUGGCAAUAACUUGAGACUUGCUUAGUUGGGCCCCUGUUUGUUAGGGUUGGUAUGACCCUCAAUUUUUCUUAAGGUAAAUGCUGUGUCUGGUACAGUAAACCCUGAGGCUUCACCCUGGUUGCUCGAAUGAAAUUCGUGAGUCCUUGCAUGCUUGGCAAUUAAGCUAGGGUGAGGGUUGAUCAAUAGGGUCAGAGUUUCGUAUUGGUGAAAUCCAAUCCAAACUUUACCUGUUGACAUCUUUAAUUUUGAGCCCUUAAUCUCGAACACGGAUUUUAUUUAAAAUUGCAAUAGCCAUUGCUUCUUACGAUCUCUCAUCUAGCUUUCUCUCUUAAAAUGCUUCUUGUACACUUUAUCCAAGAUAGCCUUAUCUAGAAAUGCUUGAUUUUAUUAUAUAUUUAUAUUUGAAAUUACCCCAAGGGGGUAGCUCAGUUGGCAAAUAUCAACACCUCACGAUUAAAAGGUCAUGUUUUCAACUCUCCUCGGGUCCUACCUAUCGUAUCAUAUAUAUAUAUAUAUAUAUAUUUGAAACUUCUUCCUUACAUUUCGUGCUUUCUUUAUUUACCCUUCCAGAGGUUGAAUUGUCAUAUUUAACCAAUUCUUUCUUAGUGAAAGUAGUUUUACUUACAACUGAGCCUUUUUUUUUUUUUUUUUUCUUUGCAACUUUUUUCUGUCGACAGUCUGAGAAUUAUAUUGAGAAUCAGUUGCAAGAUCAAGAGUCCAUCAGUCUAAUACAAGAAAACAAGAAGCUCCAGGCUCAGUGCUCAGAAUACGAGAGAAGGGUGGAACAACUUAUUCUCAAGGAGCAACAGCUCAGAAGUGAGCUAGAAGAGGUCCAACUUGAGUACACAAGGCUUUUGGAUGAAUCACAAGCAACGGAUUCAGUAAAGAUGGAGAGCAGGUAAAAUGGUGGAUCAGUAAAGAUGGAGAACAGGUAAAAUGGUGGAUUUAUCUGUGUAGGAGCAACUACAGCUCAGAAGUGAGCUAGAAGAGGUCCAACUUGAGAGCGCAAGGCUUUUGGCUGAAUCACAAGCAAUGGAUGCACUAAAGGUGGAUGGUGGUUUUAUCUAUGUAGAAGCAACAGCUCAGAAGUGAGCUGGAAGAGGUCCAACUUGAGUACGCAAGACUUUUGGCUGAAUCACAAGCAAUGGAUUCAGUAAAGGUGGAGAACAGGUGAAAUGGUAGAUUCCCCCUGCGUCUUCCUCCUCUCCCCUUGUGUGCUUAUUCUUUCAUAUGUAAGUUGAAAUGGGUUUUUUUUUUUUAAGUAUGCCAGUGUAUCAGAAAUUAGAAUGUCAUUACACUUGGUGGGAUAGGGGGCUCAUCGACGUCAAAUUUUUCCGUUAAUAUGUUGUAAAAAUGUAGAAACAGAUUGUAAUUGCCACUGAUGUGAAUAUGGAAGUAUGUCAGCGCCCUUCCACUAAAACUGAUGGUGUCAACGUACUCCACCGCCUCCCUUGUAUUUGCUUACAUCUUGUCUGGCUUUUUUGGCAUGUCAACAUAUUGUUUGGAGUUUUAUCCUUAUGAAGACGGCAGACGAAACGACACCAAAUGCUGCAAUUUUUCAUCUCAGCAAUUUUUGGAGAUCCAACUGAGGCUCAGUUGCAAUGGGACGUUCGGCAGUGAAAAUAUUCAAGUCGAGUCUCAUAACUCUUUUUGAGGAUUUACUUAGAAAUUUUUUGACUCCCUUCCUAGCCAAGGAAUAGUAUGGCAUUGCAUCAGGGGAAGGUAUUGCCAGGAAUUUAUACUUGACAGCAUUAUCAGACCUGCUACCUCCAGAAGGACCAGAUCAAAGAAAAACUAUGGAAGGAGCUUGGUUCUUAGUUCUUACACAGGUCAGGUUUCGGAUUUAUUAGAGUUUGCAAUAUGUCAAAAUGUUGCCUUAAAAUCUGGUGCUACGGGAAAUUGCUGUGGUUGGAGUAAUAUUAUGUAUACAUGGAAUGCAUUUUAAUACAUGAGAGGGUAUUGGAUUGAA
This is a long non-coding RNA of Macadamia integrifolia, 4144 nucleotides long. RefSeq lists it as uncharacterized. NCBI's taxonomy places the organism in Eukaryota, Viridiplantae, Streptophyta, Magnoliopsida, Proteales, Proteaceae. The transcript is spliced from 3 exons. The record is from RefSeq and is a predicted model, not a curated record.